GGACACCAAACUCUGGCCUCCAGAAAACUCUGAUCAAUUCAAGUUAUUUGACUACAAAGAUCGAAAUCACAUCAAUAUGACAAAAAACUCAAAUCAAAUUUCACAGAUGCCUUACCCACGCCUUACGAGGCAUUGAUACCAGUUUUGUUGGGAUUUUGCCACCCAACUGAACAAAAAUUGUAGAAAAAUGAUGCAGCACAAACACAUUGCAAUAAUAUAAACAACACUAGAAUUGUUCACCCAAUUCGAUCAAGCAUAAUCUUGGGGGCUCUGAGGUAAAAGGAACCCGUCACUAUGUACAAAGAACCGCCCAAGAGAGAGUUAAAGAUUAGUACAACCAAGACUCAGAGACCACACACGGUCACCGAUCCUAAAGAUCUCCCAAAAAUCAGUCUAUACAAUACAAAAAUCAGAAAAAAAAAAUCUCUGCCUUACACGUCCAAAUUUACCAACUUUAAAUGAAAGCCUAAAAUACUGAACAAUAGACAGAAUACACAAUAUACAAGAUCUGAUUCUAAUCUAUAAACUGAAUACAAGAUGGUUUCAAUCAAAGAACAAGAAUUUUCAAAGUGAAAGCUAUCAAAGAACAGAGAGAGAGAAAACCAAAUGAAAACUUUACAACUCGUA
RNAcentral lists this long non-coding RNA (627 nucleotides) under Olea europaea (common olive). RNAcentral describes it as "long non-coding RNA (OEUR_LNC008080)". Lineage: Eukaryota; Viridiplantae; Streptophyta; Magnoliopsida; Lamiales; Oleaceae. The record is from RNAcentral.